CCCUUAGAUGUUCUGGGCUGCACGCGCGCUACACUGAUGCGCUCAACGAGUUUUAACCUUGCCUGGAAAGGUUGGGUAAUCUUUUUAAAACGCAUCGUGAUGGGGAUAGAUUAUUGCAAUUAUUAAUCUUCAACGAGGAAUUCCUAGUAAGCGCGAGUCAUCAGCUCGUGCUGAUUACGUCCCUGCCCUUUGUACACACCGCCCGUCGCUCCUACCGAUUGAAUGAUCCGAUGAAUAUCAUGGAUUGAGGAUGCAAGUAGGUUCACCUAUCUUCAUCUUCGAGAAGUGAAGUAAAUCUUAUCAUUUAGAGGAAGGAGAAGUCGUAACA
Molecule: ribosomal RNA, 328 nt
Filed under: uncultured eukaryote
Lineage: Eukaryota
Description: partial 18S ribosomal RNA
Rfam family: Eukaryotic small subunit ribosomal RNA
Source: RNAcentral